UGUUUUCAUUAAUCAAGAACGAAAGUUAGAGGUUCGAAGGCGAUUAGAUACCGCCCUAGUUCUAACCAUAAACGAUGCCAGCUAGCGAUCUGCCGACGUUUUUUUUGUAGACUCGGCAGGAAGCUUCCGGGAAACCAAAGCAUUUGGGUUCCAGGGGAAGUAUGGUUGCAAAGCUGAAACUUAAAGGAAUUGACGGAAGGGCACCACCAGGAGUGGAGCCUGUGGCUUAAUUUGACUCAACACGGGAAAUCUCACCAGGCCCGGACACUGGAAGGAUUGACAGAUUGAUAGCUCUUUCUUGAUUCGGUGGGUGGUGGUGCAUGGCCGUUCUUAGUUGGUGGAGUGAUUUGUCUGGUUAAUUCCGAUAACGAACGAGACUCUGUCCUGCUAAAUAGUGUCCGCCUCUCUUUUGGGCGGACAAUUCUUCUUAGAGGGACUGGCGACUCUCAGUCGCACGAGAUUGAGCAAUAACAGGUCUGUGAUGCCCUUAGAUGUUCUGGGCCGCACACGCGCUACACUGAAUAGAUCAACGUGUUCCCCCUAUCCGAGAGGAUCGGGUAAACCGCUGAACCCUAUUCGUGGUAGGGAUCGGGGCUUGCAAUUGUUCCCCGUAAACCAGGAAUUCCCAGUAGGCGCAAGUCAUAAGCUUGUGUCGAUUACGUCCCUGCCCUUUGUACACACCGCCCGUCGCUACUACCGAUUGAACGUUUUAGUGAGGUCCUCGGACUGACAGGUUGGCGGAUUACUCUGCCUGCCUGGCGGGAAGACGACCA
This 773-nucleotide ribosomal RNA is filed under the name Scaphocalanus brevicornis. RNAcentral's name for it is "SSU rRNA". It matches the Rfam family "Eukaryotic small subunit ribosomal RNA", at positions 965 to 1761 of the family's 1831-position model. The record is from RNAcentral. Lineage: Eukaryota; Metazoa; Arthropoda; Copepoda; Calanoida; Scolecitrichidae.